UUCAACCAUCAUGAUGAUACCCAACGAAUAUAGCAUAGUUCACACUGAAUAUCAAAGUGUUGAUAACCAAUCAUCUAAGUCUUUCGCUCCUAUCUGAUCCAUUGAUUCUU
This 110-nucleotide small nucleolar RNA is filed under the name Termitomyces sp. J132. RNAcentral describes it as "Small nucleolar RNA snR60/Z15/Z230/Z193/J17". It matches the Rfam family "Small nucleolar RNA snR60/Z15/Z230/Z193/J17". Rfam says of the family: The members of this family belong to the C/D class of snoRNAs which contain the C (UGAUGA) and D (CUGA) box motifs. Most of the members of the box C/D family function in directing site-specific 2'-O-methylation of substrate RNAs. The family includes the yeast snoRNA snR60 (also known as Z15) and the corresponding human guide snoRNA U80 (SNORD80). Lineage: Eukaryota; Fungi; Basidiomycota; Agaricomycetes; Agaricales; Lyophyllaceae. The record is from Rfam by way of RNAcentral.